CCCUGGAGGACUAGUGGUUAGACCUUGGCACUCUCAGUGCCAUGGUCUGGGUUCGAUUCCUGGCCACUGGGG
Non-coding RNA from Pangasianodon gigas (Mekong giant catfish), 72 nucleotides. Lineage: Eukaryota; Metazoa; Chordata; Actinopteri; Siluriformes; Pangasiidae. The record is from the annotation of a GenBank genome assembly.